GGCGGUGUAGCUCAGUUGGUCAGAGCAGCGGAAUCAUAAUCCGCGUGUCGGGGGUUCGAAUCCCUCCACCGCCA
Molecule: transfer RNA, 74 nt
Filed under: Candidatus Latescibacterota bacterium
Lineage: Bacteria; Pseudomonadati; Candidatus Latescibacterota
Description: Candidatus Latescibacteria bacterium tRNA-Met
Rfam family: tRNA
About the family: Transfer RNA (tRNA) molecules are approximately 80 nucleotides in length. Their secondary structure includes four short double-helical elements and three loops (D, anti-codon, and T loops).
Source: RNAcentral